UGGGGAAUUUUGGACAAUGGGCGAAAGCCUGAUCCAGCAAUGCCGCGUGUGUGAAGAAGGCCUUCGGGUUGUAAAGCACUUUUGUCCGGAAAGAAAUCCUUGGCUCUAAUACAGUCGGGGGAUGACGGUACCGGAAGAAUAAGCACCGGCUAACUACGUGCCAGCAGCCGCGGUAAUACGUAGGGUGCAAGCGUUAAUCGGAAUUACUGGGCGUAAAGCGUGCGCAGGCGGUUUGCUAAGACCGAUGUGAAAUCCCCGGGCUCAACCUGGGAACUGCAUUGGUGACUGGCAGGCUAGAGUAUGGCAGAGGGGGGUAGAAUUCCACGUGUAGCAGUGAAAUGCGUAGAGAUGUGGAGGAAUACCGAUGGCGAAGGCAGCCCCCUGGGCCAAUACUGACGCUCAUGCACGAAAGCGUGGGGAGCAAACAGGAUUAGAUACCCUGGUAGUCCACGCCCUAAACGAUGUCAACUAGUUGUUGGGGAUUCAUUUCCUUAGUAACGUAGCUAACGCGUGAAGUUGACCGCCUGGGGAGUACGGCCGCAAGGUUAAAAACUUAAAGGAAUUGACGGGGUCAUAGCUG
Molecule: ribosomal RNA, 580 nt
Filed under: uncultured bacterium
Lineage: Bacteria
Description: partial 16S ribosomal RNA
Rfam family: Bacterial small subunit ribosomal RNA
Source: RNAcentral